Molecule: unclassified non-coding RNA, 218 nt
Filed under: Hevea brasiliensis (rubber tree)
Lineage: Eukaryota; Viridiplantae; Streptophyta; Magnoliopsida; Malpighiales; Euphorbiaceae
Source: RNAcentral
UACAUCAACUUUUGUUGGAAUACAAGAAUGUUUUUGCUGAACCGAAAGGGUUACCACCUAAACACACCCAUGAUCACAAGAUUCCUACUAUAGAGGGAGUGUCUCCAGUGAACAUUCGACCUUAUUAUGCUUGCAUUUCAAAAAGAUGCAAUCGAACAAAUGGUGAAUGAAAUGUUAGAAGCGGGAGUAAUUCAGCAUAGCACCAGUCCCUAUUCGAG